GACGAACCGAGCGAACGUUGUUCGGAAUCACUGGGCUUAAAGGGCGCGUAGGCGGGCCGCCGUGUCCGGGGUGAAAUCCUCCCGCUCAACGGGAGAACGGCCUCGGAUACGGGCGGUCUGGAGGGGGGUAGGGGCGUGCGGAACUGUGGGUGGAGCGGUGAAAUGCGUUGAUAUCCACAGGAACUCCGGUGGCGAAGGCGGCACGCUGGACCCCACCUGACGCUGAGGCGCGAAAGCCAGGGGAGCGAACAGG
RNAcentral lists this ribosomal RNA (253 nucleotides) under uncultured bacterium. RNAcentral's name for it is "partial 16S ribosomal RNA". It matches the Rfam family "Bacterial small subunit ribosomal RNA", at positions 524 to 776 of the family's 1533-position model. The record is from RNAcentral.